RNAcentral lists this ribosomal RNA (834 nucleotides) under Triticum aestivum (bread wheat). RNAcentral's name for it is "partial small subunit ribosomal RNA". The record is from RNAcentral. Lineage: Eukaryota; Viridiplantae; Streptophyta; Magnoliopsida; Poales; Poaceae.
AUGAGGAAAGGAUUAUUCGCCAACAAGGAUGAAUAUCUCUUCUUUGGAGAAGAAAAUAGGCUGAAAAUGUUUCAGCCAAAUACAUUCAAUUUUAAGCCAAAAUCCCAUAUUAAGCUCGAUGAAGCUCAAAGAUGCAUAUUGGAUAACUUUUGGUUCCAAUAUACUCGCAAAAGAGAGGAACAAGGAUAUUUUUUAUCAAUUCUCAACAGUUUGGCUGAAUAUUUUAAUGAAUUAAACAAAAAUGUGCCAAAGCCAGCAAAGGUUGAAAUACCAAAAGGAGAAACUCUAUAUCUUAUAUUUGAUGGAAACAAACCUGGCAUAUAUUUGGAAUGGGAGAAUAUUAUGAUUGAAAAAUUAGAUGCAAAAAGAAAUGGACAAGAUUUAACAUUCAAAAGAUAUUACAGUAUAGAUGAGGCCUUACUUUGGGCAAGGAAGGUAUUAGGACCAGAUUAUUAUAUUGACCCAAAGGCUAAAAACUAUAUCCAAAUGAAAAGAGGCAUACCUGCUUCACCAACUCCCACAAAGGGGGAGGCAUCAAGCUCAAACAAUAUAAAGAAAGAAGAAUCCCCGAAAUAUAAGACAUAUCAAGAAUGCCUUCUAAAGGGGCUUGACCCUUUAGACAGUGAAUACAUAGAUCAAGAAAUGGAUAAAAGGUUUGAAGAAUUUUCAAAGAUAAUAAAGAAAUUAAAGGAGGAAAUAUUAAAAGAAUUAAGGCAAGAAAUGGAUGAAAUAUUUGAAGUAAUAAAGAAAGAAUGUGAUGAAAAAUAUGAUUUCAAUCUGUUAAAUGAUGAUGAUCAUAUGGACAUAGCAGGGCAUGGGCAGCGACCUGAAUAA